This 484-nucleotide ribosomal RNA is filed under the name uncultured bacterium. Its description in RNAcentral is "partial 16S ribosomal RNA". It matches the Rfam family "Bacterial small subunit ribosomal RNA", at positions 30 to 507 of the family's 1533-position model. The record is from RNAcentral.
AUUGAACGCUGGCGGCAGGCCUAACACAUGCAAGUCGAGCGGAUGAAGGGAGCUUGCUCCUGGAUUCAGCGGCGGACGGGUGAGUAAUGCCUAGGAAUCUGCCUGGUAGUGGGGGAUAACGUCCGGAAACGGGCGCUAAUACCGCAUACGUCCUGAGGGAGAAAGUGGGGGAUCUUCGGACCUCACGCUAUCAGAUGAGCCUAGGUCGGAUUAGCUAGUUGGUGGGGUAAAGGCCUACCAAGGCGACGAUCCGUAACUGGUCUGAGAGGAUGAUCAGUCACACUGGAACUGAGACACGGUCCAGACUCCUACGGGAGGCAGCAGUGGGGAAUAUUGGACAAAGGGCGAAAGCCUGAUCCAGCCAUGCCGCGUGUGUGAAGAAGGUCUUCGGAUUGUAAAGCACUUUAAGUUGGGAGGAAGGGCAGUAAGUUAAUACCUUGCUGUUUUGACUUUACCAACAGAAUAAGCACCGGCUAACUUCGUG